GACGAACGCUAGCGGCGUGCUUAACACAUGCAAGUCGAACGGAAAGGCCCUGCUUUUGUGGGGUGCUCGAGUGGCGAACGGGUGAGUAACACGUGAGUAACCUGCCCUUGACUUUGGGAUAACUUCAGGAAACUGGGGCUAAUACCGGAUAGGAGCUCCUGCUGCAUGGUGGGGGUUGGAAAGUUUCGGCGGUUGGGGAUGGACUCGCGGCUUAUCAGCUUGUUGGUGGGGUAGUGGCUUACCAAGGCUUUGACGGGUAGCCGGCCUGAGAGGGUGACCGGCCACAUUGGGACUGAGAUACGGCCCAGACUCCUACGGGAGGCAGCAGUGGGGAAUAUUGCACAAUGGGCGGAAGCCGGAUGCAGCAACGCCGCGUGCGGGAUGACGGCCUUCGGGUUGUAAACCGCUUUCGCCUGUGACGAAGCGUGAGUGACGGUAAUGGGUAAAGAAGCACCGGCUAACUACGUG
Molecule: ribosomal RNA, 468 nt
Filed under: uncultured bacterium
Lineage: Bacteria
Description: partial 16S ribosomal RNA
Rfam family: Bacterial small subunit ribosomal RNA
Source: RNAcentral